UAAGCCCGUGUGUCCCUCUUAUUUCCUUUC
RNAcentral lists this non-coding RNA (30 nucleotides) under Mus musculus (house mouse). The record is from RNAcentral. Lineage: Eukaryota; Metazoa; Chordata; Mammalia; Rodentia; Muridae.